UGCCAGCCGCCGCGGUAAGACGAAGGAUCCAAGCGUUGUCCGGAUUUACUGGGUUUAAAGGGUGCGUAGGCGGAUGCUUAAGCCAGUGGUGAAAUCUCUCAGCUCAACUGAGAAACUGCCAUUGGUACUGGGUAUCUUGAAUUCGAUUGAGGUAGAUGGAAUAUAACAUGUAGCGGUGAAAUGCUUAGAUAUGUUAUGGAACACCGAUUGCGAAGGCAGUCUACUAAGUCGAUAUUGACGCUGAGGCACGAAAGCGUGGGUAGCGAACAGGAUUAGAUACCCUGGUAGUCCACGCCCUAAACGUUGAUUACUCGCUGUUGGCGAUACACUGUCAGCGGCUAAGCGAAAGCGUUAAGUAAUCCACCUGGGAAGUACGACCGCAAGGUUGAAACUCAAAGGAAUUGACGGGGGCCCGCACAAGCGGAGGAGCAUGUGGUUUAAUUCGAUGAUACGCGAGGAACCUUACCUGGGCUUAAAUGUCAGAUGCAAUUGGAAGAAAAUUCUUGAGUUCCUUCGGGACAUUUGGCAAGGUGCCGCAUGGCUUGUCGUCAGCUCGUGUCGUGAGAUGCUGGGUUAAGUCCCGCAACGAGCGCAACCCUCACUUUUAGUUGCCAUCAUUAAGUUGGGCACUCUGAAGA
Molecule: ribosomal RNA, 638 nt
Filed under: uncultured CFB group bacterium kpj431f
Lineage: Bacteria; Pseudomonadati; Bacteroidota
Description: bacterial SSU rRNA
Rfam family: Bacterial small subunit ribosomal RNA
Source: RNAcentral